RNAcentral lists this long non-coding RNA (494 nucleotides) under Equus asinus (donkey). RNAcentral describes it as "lncRNA (ENSEASG00005023579.1)". Lineage: Eukaryota; Metazoa; Chordata; Mammalia; Perissodactyla; Equidae. The record is from RNAcentral.
CUGAAACGCGGCUCUUCUCGGAUCUCAAGCCGCUGGGUUCCCGACCGGAAGUCACGCCAUCUGCUCUCGCGUUGUCCAGUUUAACGCGGACACAGAUUUUGGGACUUCUCGGUCUCCAUACUCCUGUGAGCCAAUUCAGAGAUUUGCGGUCAGCAACCUGGAGAACCGUGGAGCGGAUGGUCUAACUUCCGGUCGGAAACGCAGCAGGGUUGAGAUCUGAGAAGAACCGUUUAUUCAGUUCCACUCUGAAGUUUUCACUUCUUCUCAGUCUACAUAAUUUGGCUGAGUCCUCAAAUAAAAAAUUGACGCUCACAACCAGAAGGACCCACAACGAGAAUAUACAACUAUGUACUAAGGGGCUUUGGGGAGAAGAGGAAGAAAAAAAAUUAAUAUCCCCCCAGUACAUAGUUGCAUAUAUUUUAGUUGUGGGUCCUUCUAGUUGUGGCACGUGGGAUGCCGCCUCAACGUGGCCUGAUGAGUGAUGCCAUGUCCGU